RNAcentral lists this non-coding RNA (29 nucleotides) under Rattus norvegicus (Norway rat). The record is from RNAcentral. Lineage: Eukaryota; Metazoa; Chordata; Mammalia; Rodentia; Muridae.
UGUCGUCAAAUUCCAGCGAUACUCAGUUG